RNAcentral lists this long non-coding RNA (372 nucleotides) under Capsicum annuum. RNAcentral's name for it is "long non-coding RNA (CANN_LNC015536)". The record is from RNAcentral. Lineage: Eukaryota; Viridiplantae; Streptophyta; Magnoliopsida; Solanales; Solanaceae.
AAUAAAACAAAGUCCCAAACCAAAAGACACACAAAUAAAGCAAAAGGAUAAAGACUAUAAGAGAGGGCACCCACAUAGUACACUAAUAUCUCUAGCAGCUAAGACAACACAACACAACACAAAAACAAUCUCAAAACAAACCAGCCAGUCACCACUACACACAUAAAUAAUAGAAAAAAAUGUAGAAAGGGAAACAAAAAUAAAAACAAAAUACAGGGAAAUAGAAGAAAAAUAGUAUAAAGAAAUCAAAUUUUGUAUUAUGUGGCUAACUAAAUAAAAGUUUCAAAGUCACCGGUAUGCCUGCUAGCUGCUGGGUCCGUCAAUUUAAUGUUAAAAAAUUUGUUGCCGAAAAAGGGUCACCGGUAAAAUGGC